GUUUACUUCUGAAGAUCACUUUAGCACCGCCCUAAAAACCCGAUUAAAAUUCGACACAAACCUUCAAAUAGGAAAAAUCAACACGAAAAUGGCUAAUUUGAUGCUGCUGCCACAGGGAGGCACCUCUCCCCCACUCAAUCUGACAGGUUAUGUCCAACUUUGGCAGCGCCAUCAUUCAGAUUUGGACAACAAUAUCAAGAUAACUAUGAUGGCUUGUGUUGGUCAAGUGUCUCCCAUCUUCCCGGCUUAUCCCCUGGGUAUUUAUACCUGUGUUUUCUGUCUGUCUGUGCCAGUUCGUCUUGUUUGUUCAAGCCAACCAGCGGUUUGUCUCAGCUCCUGUUUUUUCCCAGUCUCUCUUUUUCCUCAUCCUCCUGGUUUUCGGCAUUUGCCUGUCCUGAUCCUGUACCCGCCCACCUGACCACUGCCUGUCUCUGACCCUGAGCCUGCCUGCCAUCCUGUACCUUUGCUCCACCUCUGGAUUACCGACCUCAGCCUGACCUGAGCCUGCCUGCUGUCCC
This 518-nucleotide long non-coding RNA is filed under the name Salmo salar (Atlantic salmon). RNAcentral describes it as "lncRNA (ENSSSAG00000101728.1)". Lineage: Eukaryota; Metazoa; Chordata; Actinopteri; Salmoniformes; Salmonidae. The record is from RNAcentral.